Molecule: ribosomal RNA, 440 nt
Filed under: uncultured bacterium
Lineage: Bacteria
Description: partial 16S ribosomal RNA
Rfam family: Bacterial small subunit ribosomal RNA
Source: RNAcentral
CCUACGGGGGGCAGCAGUGGGGGAUAUUGCACAAUGGGGGGAACCCUGAUGCAGCGACGCCGCGUGGGUGAAGGAGCGUUUCGGCGCGUAAAGCCCUAUCGGCAGGGAAGAAGAUGACGGUACCUGACCAAGAAGCCCCGGCUAACUACGUGCCAGCAGCCGCGGUAAUACGUAGGGGGCAAGCGUUAUCCGGAUUUACUGGGUGUAAAGGGGGCGCAGACGGCAAUGCAAGCCAGGAGUGAAAGCCCGGGGCCCAACCCCGGGACUGCUUUGGAAACUGUGCAGCUAGAGUGCAGGAGAGGUAAGUGGAAUUCCUAGUGUAGCGGUGAAAUGCGUAGAUAUUAGGAGGAACACCAGUGGCGAAGGCGGCUUACUGGACUGUAACUGACGUUGAGGCUCGAAAGCGUGGGGAGCAAACAGGAUUAGAUACCCUGGUAGUC